AAUCUCGUAGCUUAGUGGUCAGAGCAUUGGCGCGUAAAGUCAAAGAGCACGGGUUCGAUUCCCGCCGGGGGUG
This 73-nucleotide transfer RNA is filed under the name Agrilus planipennis (emerald ash borer). It matches the Rfam family "tRNA". Rfam says of the family: Transfer RNA (tRNA) molecules are approximately 80 nucleotides in length. Their secondary structure includes four short double-helical elements and three loops (D, anti-codon, and T loops). The record is from Rfam by way of RNAcentral. Lineage: Eukaryota; Metazoa; Arthropoda; Insecta; Coleoptera; Buprestidae.